UACGGAAGGCAGCAGUGGGGAAUAUUGCACAAUGGGCGCAAGCCUGAUGCAGCCAUGCCGCGUGUAUGAAGAAGGCCUUCGGGUUGUAAAGUACUUUCAGUCGUGAGGAAGGUGUUAAGGUUAAUAACCUUAGCAAUUGACGUUAGCGACAGAAGAAGCACCGGCUAACUCCGUGCCAGCAGCCGCGGUAAUACGGAGGGUGCGAGCGUUAAUCGGAAUUACUGGGCGUAAAGGGCACGCAGGCGGUUAAUUAAGUUGGAUGUGAAAUCCCCGGGCUUAACCUGGGAAUGGCAUUCAAGACUGGUUAGCUAGAGUCUUGUAGAGGGGGUAGAAUUCCAUGUGUAGCGGUGAAAUGCGUAGAGAUGUGGAGGAAUACCGGGUGGCGAAGGCGGCCCCUGGGACAAGACUGACGCUCAUGUGCGAAAGCGUGGGGAGCGAAACAGGAUUAGAUACC
Molecule: ribosomal RNA, 454 nt
Filed under: uncultured bacterium
Lineage: Bacteria
Description: bacterial SSU rRNA
Rfam family: Bacterial small subunit ribosomal RNA
Source: RNAcentral